RNAcentral lists this ribosomal RNA (482 nucleotides) under uncultured bacterium. Its description in RNAcentral is "partial 16S ribosomal RNA". It matches the Rfam family "Bacterial small subunit ribosomal RNA", at positions 29 to 507 of the family's 1533-position model. The record is from RNAcentral.
AUUGAACGCUGGCGGCAUGCUUUACACAUGCAAGUCGAACGGUAACAGGCCGCAAGGUGCUGACGAGUGGCGAACGGGUGAGUAAUGCAUCGGAACGUGCCCAGUCGUGGGGGAUAACUACUCGAAAGAGUAGCUAAUACCGCAUACGAUCUAUGGAUGAAAGCGGGGGACCGUAAGGCCUCGCGCGAUUGGAGCGGCCGAUGUCAGAUUAGGUAGUUGGUGGGGUAAAGGCUCACCAAGCCAACGAUCUGUAGCUGGUCUGAGAGGACGACCAGCCACACGGGGACGGAGACCCGCCCCAGCCCCCGAGGGGGGGCGGAGGGGGGAAUUUUGGGACAAGGGGGGCAGGCUUACCCCAGCAUUCCGGCGGGCAGAAAGAGGGCCUCGGGUUUUAAAACUGUUUUUGUGCGAAACAAAACGGUUCUGGUUAAUACCCGGGGAUAAGGAGGUAACCGAAAAAAAAAGCCCCGGCUAACUAGGUG